AGAAUCAACGCUGGCGGCGUGCCUAACACAUGCAAGUCGCACGAGAAAGGGGAGCAAUCCCUGAGUAAAGUGGCGCACGGGUGAGUAACACGUGAAUAAUCUACCUCCGAGUGGGGAAUAACUGAGAGAAAUCUUAGCUAAUACCGCAUAAUACCCACGGGUCAAAGCAGCAAUGCGCUUGGAGAGGAGUUCGCGGCCGAUUAGCUAGUUGGCGGGGUAAUGGCCCACCAAGGCGAUGAUCGGUA
This 245-nucleotide ribosomal RNA is filed under the name uncultured bacterium. RNAcentral describes it as "partial small subunit ribosomal RNA". It matches the Rfam family "Bacterial small subunit ribosomal RNA", at positions 26 to 285 of the family's 1533-position model. The record is from RNAcentral.